GUGGAUUAGAUACCCUAGUAGUCCAUGCCGUAAACGAUGAAUACUAGGUGUGGGGGGACUGACCCCUUCCGUGCCGGAGUUAACACAAUAAGUAUUCCACCUGGGGAGUACGACCGCAAGGUUGAAACUCAAAGGAAUUGACGGGGGCCCGCACAAGCAGUGGAGUAUGUGGUUUAAUUCGAAGCAACGCGAAGAACCUUACCAGGUCUUGACAUCUGGCUAACGAAGUAGAGAUACAUUAGGUGCCCUUCGGGGAAAGCCAAGACAGGUGGUGCACGGUCGUAGCCAGCU
This 291-nucleotide ribosomal RNA is filed under the name uncultured bacterium. Its description in RNAcentral is "partial 16S ribosomal RNA". It matches the Rfam family "Bacterial small subunit ribosomal RNA", at positions 773 to 1060 of the family's 1533-position model. The record is from RNAcentral.